Dromaius novaehollandiae (emu) is the source of this 3272-nucleotide long non-coding RNA. RefSeq lists it as uncharacterized. The record is from RefSeq and is a predicted model, not a curated record. NCBI's taxonomy places the organism in Eukaryota, Metazoa, Chordata, Aves, Casuariiformes, Dromaiidae. The transcript has 3 exons.
GGAGCUGCUCGAGCAAAGGGAAGAGCGAGCGGGAGUAAUUUUCCACGGAUGCAGGGAACAAUCGAGCCCCGCACGGUUUCUCGUCGUUAAAACGCUCCCCUCCAGCACUGCACGUUCACCGGCAGCAGACAAAGGCGAUAUGCAUGCAGAGACCGGUUCGGUCUUGCUCCACCCUCCGUGCCGAGGAGCCGAGGUGACGGGGAGGAGGAGUGGGGGGGGAUGCUCCUGUCAUGACGUGGGCCUCGCUCCAGCUCCUCUAGCUCGGCACGUAGGGGAUGUCAGAAAGCAACGUCUGAGUCAUCCUUGCUUAGCCGCAGCCCAGACCUGGCGCGGAGUCAAAAAUGCCCAGAUACUACCGCGCCAGUGGUUCAGACCAAGGUUUGCAUCCUUCUGCCAGACCACCGAAGAAGGCUUUCAGCAAAACAUCAAAGCAGAGACCCGAUGAAUCACAGGAUCCAAUGUUGAGGCUCCUUUUGUUUCCUCCAGAGAAAUGUGCCAUGGCUGUUAUACCUGGAGGUCAUGGAAAAAGGUCUCAUCAGAACUGCUGUGAGAAGUAUUUUGGCUUGGGAAAAACAUUUUGAAUGUGUCCUGCAUGAAUACAAUAACAGUGAAGAAAAACUGUCUUCCUUAAGCUUGGUACAGAAAGCUGAAUAGCAGAAAUGACUUCAAGGGGAAAAAGCCCAAAUACUUUCUAGCAAAAAGGACAGAAAAGCACUGGAAGAGACCGGCUGGGGAAAUUUUGGCUUCCCUGUCACUGGAAGAUUUUAAGAACAGGUUAAAUGCACUUCUGUCAGGGAUAACUCAUGAAAACAUGUGGUAUUAUAGUCUGAAUUAGAAUGAUAAAGGCUUAAAUCAAGCCUUAUACAGAAUUAAACCUUUACAUGGCAGCUUAUUCACAUUGCUUUGCAUGCAAGGCCCGUGGAAGAAUCUACUGCGCCAGAUGUUAAAGUUUUUGGCUUCCCGGGUAGGCACUAGCUGAUCCAACUCAGUGCUAGAUUUGCUGCUUCAAAGCUGGAUCAGAUCUUUGCAAUCUAAAGCCUUUUUUAGUAAAAAAUCAAAGAGUUAAAAGUUUCUGGGACACCGAGAGGGUUCUCAAAAGUAGCAAUACAAAUGACCGGAGUUUUAUUGCCAUCACAUUGGUGUUGCUUGGCAAAGAUAUAAACAACAACAAUGGCAGUUAGAGCUGUUCAGAGACACAAGAUAAUGAUAAUGUCACUUUGCAUUACCAUGAGAAUAUUAAAAUAAAAAAAUAGUUUAGUAUGAAUUGAUUUUUCAUGGCCAUCUCCAUAACAUCUCAUGGGAAAAAAGCAUCUAGUUACAAACAUGCAAGCACAUUUCUGAACCCAUAUAAAAUCUUAAAUCCACAAUAUGUAAACCCAACAGAAUGCUAAACAGCAGGACAUUAGGAAACCAUUGAAAGAAAUGCCCAGUAUAAUAUAGAAGAGAAUUAAACAUGACUAUCACUGCAAAAGAAUAGUCCCCCACAAACCUUUAUAAAGACAAGAAGAGGAUUAUCAACAAGAAGCGAGGCAGGAUAAGGACAGACGAUUUAGUUCUAUGUCGAGGGAACAUUUUUGCCUAUUUCAAAGAUGCUGUGAGGUAAAUAGACUUUUUAAAGUGACCCAAAGAAACCCUCAGUCUAUUUUCUGUAAAAUUUGAGGUUAGAGGAGGCAGCCUGAAAUGAGCAGAGGUGUAAAAGCUCUUCAGCUCCGAUUUUUGCCGCAGCAUGGCCUGAGGUUAGUCCUUUCUACUCUUUGUCUCUCAUUUUCCCCGUCUAUAGCAACACGAGCACAGCAAGUUCCAGCCUCCUAAGGGAUGCUCCGCUCUCUACGGGGACAGGUUUUAACGUACACACUCCAGCCCACUAAAUCCCUGACUCGAUUUAGCAGCACGACGGAGCAGUCGCACUGCGUACAUUGUUCUGACAGCUGUUGAGGACCGACCUGCUGAUGCUCAGUGCUUCCUGUCACAUCCUGCUCCUUAAAGAAGAGCUGAUUGCAUUUUCCUCCCAAAUGAGCUCAGUGAGUCUGAAGAGGGGCUGAGGCUGCACAGUUGGACAGCAUGAUAUUUGGCUGCUGGUGCUGCUUGACGGCUGGCAGUCGGAGAUCGAGGACAUGUCUGUGUCCAAAGUGAAAUAAAUAUUGCAUGGAAACAUCAAGGGGAAUAAGGAACUGCGAGCAAAGAAAUACAUGCAGUUCAUGACAAAGUCCAGGGAAAGCACCAGAAAGGCAAGGGACAGUUUAUAGAUAAUGAGCUGAACUGCAAUCUGCAUGCAAUUUAAAAGGACAUACAUGCAAAACGAUCCAGGAUUAGCCUGUGAAACUCACUGACAUAGGAAAGGACCGAGACAAAUGCUCAUACGGGGAUCAGACAUCCAUAGGAACAAAAGCAAUAGCUUCAGCAGCUGAAAUACCCCCAAAACAUAUUCAAGGACUGAUUUUCAAAUCACUGUCCAGUUUAUUUUCUGUAACCACAACUGCUCCCUUUCUUUAGAUGGGCUUCUGAAGCACUAGGUUUUCAGACCUUCUUCUGAACUACUUGGUAAAAGUCACUGUAAGCAAGAAAACAAACUAAAUAGCUCAUUGGGCUGAUCCAGAAUGGCAUUUUCUAGCUUUCCUGCCUUCCUUACAUCAGCUCUUUAUCUUUCAGCACCUUAGGAAAUCUGUUGCUCUUAAGUUACAAAUACGCGCUCAGCUCUACAGGGCAGCGUCCUUCUGCAGAGAUAAAAAGACAGUUAAUUUCCACAACCUGCCCAAAAGUCGCCAGAAAUGAGCGGCAGGAGAAGUCAAAAGCACUGUCUCGGAGCCCGGAGAUUUAACUAUUAGGCUGCCCUGCCUCUGCGACCGGAAGCCCCUGCGGGUCGAGUUAGCAUAUCUUUGCGAGAUUGCUGUACUUACACGCAGCGGGACGCUCAGGAAUAAACAGCUCCCCUAGGGCCCGGUUACUUAGGAAACAUGGGGACGGCCAACGUGAUUUUCUCCGGCGCGCUGCUGUAAAACAUUACAAAAUGGCCUUUCAGUGCUUUGCACCGAGCUGAACCUUUCAAUCAAAGUAAUGAACCCCUUCAAUUCUCAGCUUCUCCUAGAAGUUAAUAACAAACAGGAGGCAAUGUAGGUUAAUUUGUAUCUAGAGCAGCUUCAUAAAUAAAAACCUUCGAGAAAACUGGAAAAUUCUGGUAAUGGAAUAGAGCUGCCUUCAUUUUAAAACCUCCGCACACUGAAAUGUAAAUCAAUAGUGAUUAAAAUCAUGUCUUUUGACAGCUUGGUGACUUA